CAAACAUGGCGGACGGAUUCGGUUUUUGCCGAAUGGCGAAAAGUAACAGCAAUCUUUUUGUGGCAAGAGAUCUUGCUUCAUCUGUCAAAACACUUUUGGGACCACUGCACAGUUUGAAAUGCUGUUUGUCAGAUGAUGAGGCUGUGAUGUGCAGCAGUACGUCCAAGUUGUUGCAGUUCAUUGACAUACAGCAUCCAGCUGGUUUUGUUAUUAAUGAUGCUUGCCAAGGCCAGUACAAGAAAUACAGGACAAACUGCAAAACUCUGGUCUGCUUGGCUGGUUUCUGGAGCACAGCAGUGCAUGAUUUACAAGAUCAGGGUGUCCCUGUUCCAAUCAUUGUACGUCUUCUUGAUGAUGCAUUGGAAGUGUGUGAAACGGUUUGUCAAGAAAUGUCCAUUCCAGUUUUUGAAGCUUUGCAAGGUCACCUGAUGUCAAACUCAGCUCCUAAUGGUGAUGAUGUGGCUGGCCUGGCAGAAGGCAAGGGAUCAAAUGUGGGAUCUUCACGUGGUCUUGGUGAAAGAUCAGAAAAGUUGGAAGAGAGUGAUGUUGACAAUGAUUUUGGGGAUGACAAUGACAUAUCAUGGUAUUUCAAUGGUAGAAUCUCAGGGGUUGAUGGUCAAAUCCUAGGGGUUGAUGGCCAAAUAGCAGGGGUCUACAGUCACAUCCCAGGGGUUGAUGGUCAUAUCCAAGGGGGUGUUGGCCAUAUCCUAGGAGUUCAAGCUCACCUCACUGGGACUGAUGUCAAUAUCCCAUUUGGAACUAAUACGGGGUUUAUUAAAGACUUUUGCCUAACAAUGGAACUUCCUCACAGUGAUCUACUGGAAAUGACAAGUUCUGACAAAGAGAUUAGCAGAGAUCUACGUUCAGUCAACAGCGAUGAGACCUCAAGGAAUGUUUUGUCAGAACAUGGCAAGCUUGUAGUGAACAUGGGAGACACAAAUGCUCACAGUAAAAAUAUUUCAUCUCCUUGGGUCAAUGCAAGAAAGCCAGGAGCAUUCCCCAAUGCACCAAAUAAAACUAUGUUGUCAGUAGAACAUAAAGACAGAGACUUGAAACUCAGCUCACCAAAGAAAGAAGGAACCUGCAAUGCAGACAAUGUUCCAAACUCACCUUCAGAAUCACUGGAGUUCACUAGUGAAACUUUAUCGUCAAGAAUAGAAAACGAAAAUGAAGGCGAAGAUGAAUUUGAAGCGUCAUUUCAAGAGGUGGUUCGUAAUUCUGUUAACGAAGAUCUAGGAAGGAACAUAGCUGAAUUAACAGUUCAAAAGGAGAGAAAUGACAAAUUUCCCUCUGAAGUUAGAAGUAAAAGAAGCACUGAGACAUGCCAUAAAACAAACUGCUCAAAAUUAGAAAAUACCGAAGUGGAAUCUUCUCACAUUAUGAAUAAGAAACUUGUGAAUCCACUUAGUCUUUCUUCGUCUCGUUGCAAAGACAAGGAAGAAAGCGAUAAAUUGCUGUCUCUUCUGUCAGCAAAACUAGAAAAUAAGAGCAAAGCUUUCGGAAGAAAGGUUAAAAUGGCGGAAGUAUUCAAGGGGAGUAGACAUUUUAGGCAACGUUCAACGGACGAACUCUUUUCAGAGAACACUUCUGCAAGUAUUGUAAAUCCAACUACAAACAUUUCAUGUAAUGGCAAAACGCGCGUAAAACGUGAAACCUCUUCAACAAGUAAAACCAGUUUACAGUCUUUGCUCAAAACAGGUCAAGCUGGAAAACCAGCUUUGGUAAAUUCAGCACCACAUGAUAGGAAAACUGGCAAGGAAAAUUUUGCAGAACAAAAUCAAGAUAGGUCCACCGUUGUUCCAAAGCAAACAGACGAAUUGAAGUUAAUUGAAAGACACAAGCAGCUGUUAUCAAAGCUUGGAAAACGUCUCUCUCACGGCAAGGAAAAAGAAAUGCAACUUGCCAUUGAGGUGGUGAAUUCCCUCCUCCUGUCUUCGGGUAAAAUUUCACUACAAGAAUUGGAAAUUCCUUUAAGAAUGAUUCACGCAGAGUUGGUUCAAGGCCCACCAAGUUCUUUCUCCCAGAGAAUGGACGGUCUCCUGUUGGAGUGCACUACAUGGUGUAACACUGCUUUAAGAAGUCGCAGGUCGGUGUCUGAAUCGCAAGUCUCUGUGGCCCUUGUUAAUGGCGAUGUUACCGAGGAAUUUCGCCACGUGGGGCUAAACAAAGAAUACCCAAUUCACAGAAUCAUCGAGAAUGAAGAUGAUUUUAAAGCAUCUUUUUUCAGUCAGGGGAAAGACUGGCAUCAGCGCGUAACAGAAACCCUCCGUAAGCACAAAAUUGGUCUUCUUGUCGUGAAAGGAAUUGUACAGGAUUCAGUUCGGGAUUUUUGUUCAUCUCAAGGUAUAGAGGUGCUUCAAAGCAUUGCAUAUCCUGCUCUUCAACUCUUGUCCUACGCUACCGACUCCACAAUAGUAACCUAUCUUGCUGAUUUAAGGGAGCAAGAUAUAGGAAGACCUGUUACCAUGGAAACGUGGGACGUCGGCUGGGCACCUUCUUUGGUGAGACGGAGCAAGUCCAAAGCUGGGGACGAUCAUGAAGUCAAAGGCAUCAAGGCCUGUCACUAUGUCCUCGUUAAAGAGGAACCCAAGGGGACAGCAAGCUGGAAAGAUUCGUGCAGUCCACUACAGACAGUGCUACUAUGCAGCCCUAGUAAAGAUGUUCUUUGUGACAUGGAAGAACGGUUCUGGAAUUCCAUUUAUCGUUUGAAGAAUGCCCUCUCUUGUGGCCGAGUGCUGCCUGGGGCAGGAGCAAUUGAGAUCGCUUGCAUACGGCGCCUGAAAAAAGCGGGCGAACAAAGGGAACCGACUUUGUCACUCAACCCUCUUUCAGGUUGGUUACAAGAAAGCUUGGAGAUUUUCAGACCUGUGGUGUACACAGCAUUUGCGCAAGGUUUCAAAGAAUUUUUGGGGAACGUUCUUUAUAACUCCGGGGAAUUUGCCGCUCUUUGCGGAGUGUCUACCCGUGUUGAACAGGUGGUUAACUCGGGAUGUUCUUUGGGUAAUCUUGAAUGUUUCAAAUAUGAACGUUCUGAAGACGAUCAAAGUGAACUCCAGAUCACGGCAGGAAUCACGCGACAUCACGCGACAGCACACGUUUCUGACAUCCCUGCGUGUAAUGCUGCGGGUUUCAGCGUUGAUAGUUUCCAAGAUCCCGUUGCGUCGAAAAUUUUGUCUUGUAAUGCAGAAAGCGAUGUAUGGGAUGAUUAUACCGCUAAGAAAGAAGCAUGGAGGCGCGCUGUUGGUAUAGUAAGAAUUCUGCUUCAGUCAGACUUGUUGGUAGAAACGGGAUUAACGCGCAACGACAAAGAAGCUGUUCUCUUUUGAAGGCCUCAUUUUCCUUGCGGUUAACCUGAUAGCAAGCAUCAGUUCCAAUACGAACGAAAGAGCGUUUUCCGCUUUCUGGCCGCGCCCUUCGGUUUUUUUCUCUCGCCCCAAUAUUCGUGCAACCAGCAGGCGAGAAACUCUGCUCGUACGGGAACGCUUAUCUCGCAGGCUACCGUACGGUCUUUUUCACCUGCACUUUGCUUUUUGCUGUUUCGUUAGCUGAUCUGAGGAACGAAAGUAAUAAUAACCAGUAGCUAAAGAAGACUCUGUAUUCUUUUAUCCUUCACUCUCUCGCUAGUUGAGAUAUUAACACAACCUGGACAUGAAAUAAGAAAUCUAUAAACUAUCCUCUUUCUCCAAAAUUUGGCUUGUACUAAGCUAGCGGAUUUCUAUGGAGAGGAGCAACUUGAUAUAAGAAACUUUUCGUCUUAUGAUGCACUUGAUAGAGGUUUUCCGAUUUUUUAUUUCGUUAAUUCACUUUUUUUUCCAGAUUCAAAUUUAAGGAACCGUCGUACAGUCGAACCUCUAUUAAGCGACCAUCUAGUUAUCAAAGUCCCGAAAUUAUUGUCAGUUAAAUACUGUAAAUAAAACCCCCUAUUAACCGGCCACCUCUUUUAAGCGGCUACGGCCAUCCUUUCGACAUCCCGAUGAGGGUUUUUCUACUGUUUUUACCCCUAUUAAACGACCAUCAAAAAUUUAAUACACGUAAAUUGACUUCAGAUUGUUUUGGAGAAGGCGAUGGCAGAUUAGAGUCCGAAAUAGAAGGCGACGAGUUAUAAAAACAUUCAAACAAACGUUUAUUAUGAUUGUCUAGAAGUGACUUCAUGUUCACUGAGAAGUUAACACGAUGGUGAAAAUAUUCAAGGUAAACAAACCCCUAUUGAGCGACCUACUCUCAUUUCCCCUGAUGGGGUUGGACUGUAGUAUUUUCUUUCAUCAUAGUCCUAGCCUUGAGAAAGAUUUAUGUUGUACGGUGGAACUGCGCCUUACGGUCACAUCGUUAAUGCGGUCACCUCGUUAUUAGGGCCACUUUUUCUUGUCCCGGCGAAACGCCCAUACGCUUUCUUAUUAGAAAACCCCGUUAAUGCGGCCACCCCGUCAAUCCCCAACCGGUUUAAUCCUUCAUUAUUUUACCCUGUUCAUACGGCCACUCGAACCAGUUAUGCUCAACUUUCCAUUGUUAAUAUUUCGUACACUGAUGCAAGUCUCCUUUUUUUAAGUUAUACCCGUAUUCUGAAUGCUUGUUAAGGAACAUUUGUUUAGAAGUGUAAUUGUGUUAUAUCUGUUAAGACGUCACUCAAUUUAGACCAGUCGUGAGAUUUGGCCCUACCCCGCUAGUACAGCCACGCCGCUAAUAAAGCCAAAUUUUCAUGGCCCGUUGGUGACUGUAUUAACGGGGUCCACCGUAAGUGGAAAUAUUGGCCACAGUAGACCAGCCCCUCUGCCGUAGUGCCAGCCUUGCAUUCUUUAUUUAUCCAAGCUUCGUCACGCAGUUAUGUGUUGUCACUGUGAAAGGCAACUUCUGGUUCAGUUUUGCAGAACUGCUGUUUUCUUGUUUGUUUAUUUGACGGGCCAGCAAUUUUUACUUCAGCGCUUCCGACGAGAGACUGGGGCGAGUUGAGCGUUAUGACGUCAAAAUAUGCAGACUGUACGUAUUAGCUGUUGCUAAUUACAGCCUUAUAAAACAGAACGCUGCGUGGGAGUUGGAUUAAAAAUAAAAUUUUUAAACCAGCUAGGGUUAUUCGGAAUACCUUUGUAGUUUCAUCUCUGGAAAAGACACGUGCAGCUGGCACAAUCGAUGUUUAAUGGCCACUUACUACCAUGAGCAGUGAGUUAUAGAAACUCUAAAGAGUUUGCGUCAAGCAAGAUGAGCUGAUUUUCGCCGAUUUUCUCAAGCUUGUCGGACGGAAGUGACGUCAGGACCGGUUGACCAGACCGCCCCCGAGGGCUUUCCACCAUAUUUGGCGUUGAAUGGCAAGGCUCUCACGUAAUGAU
RNAcentral lists this unclassified non-coding RNA (5321 nucleotides) under Orbicella faveolata. RNAcentral describes it as "bardet-Biedl syndrome 12 protein homolog, transcript variant X2". Lineage: Eukaryota; Metazoa; Cnidaria; Anthozoa; Scleractinia; Merulinidae. The record is from RNAcentral.